RNAcentral lists this ribosomal RNA (675 nucleotides) under Triticum aestivum (bread wheat). RNAcentral describes it as "partial small subunit ribosomal RNA". The record is from RNAcentral. Lineage: Eukaryota; Viridiplantae; Streptophyta; Magnoliopsida; Poales; Poaceae.
AUGAGGGGUUUUAGUGUCUGUCUUUCAGAUAUCUAUCUUUACUCAGACCAUAACUCAAGGAAAAAACUUGCCGAUGAAGUUAAUCUGGCACUGGAUGAUGCUAAAGAGGCUUUUCAUAUUGAACAACUAUUGCUAAGUCCAAAUUCUAUACUUAAUUUGAAGUGUUAUGAUGACUGUGCUGAUCUCUCAAAUGCUUAUGAACAGUCUGAGUUCAUGCAGAACAAUCUAUCAAUCAUUAAAUCUUCAAUCAUGGCGUUUAAGAGUGUGUUCAAUGAUCUCCUAAAGAUGGUUCAUCAACACACGUCCAAAGAUAAUUCAAUGAUGGUGAUGAUUAAUUCCGGAAGUAAGGGUAGCAUGUGGAAGUUUGUGCAACAAACUGCAUGUGUCGGUCUUCAACUUCCAGGAAGCAAAUUUCCCUUUAGAAUUCCUCCAGAACUCUCGUGUGCUAGCUGCAAUAGACAUAAAUCAUUGAAUGCUGGGAGCACGGCUGAAUGCUUGGGAGGCCAAAACCUAUAUGCUGUGAUAAGGAAUUCUUUUGCAGGUGGUUUAAAUCCAUUGGAGUGUCUUCUUCAUUCAAUAUCUGGUAGAGAAAAUUUCUUCAGUGCGAAUGCAGAUGUUCCUGGGGCAUUAACAAGAAAACUAAUGUCACCUGAGGGAUGUAUAUGUUGCUUAUGA